CCCACCCUCCGCCGCGGCGCUGGCCUGGCUGGGGCCGCGAUGGCUGAGCGGGGAACGGGUGCCUCUCGGUGCUGUCCCGCACGUGUCUCUAUCCUCGUCCCUCCCUGAACACGUGUGCUUCAGAUUACUUUUUUUUCUCUUCCUGAAGUUCUCCAAAUCUACCCAAAAUCUAAUAAUUUUAGAAAUUCCAAAAUAAGUGGCAGCGUGCACUUCUCGGGCUUUAACAUCUGUUCCACAGCUGAGAAAAACUUGCUGUAACGCUGAGCUCGGGGGAGCUGGGAGCUGUUGUGCCUGUCCAUCGUGCUCCGUGACGAAGCUGCAGCACUUACUGUGCAACACGUCGUUGUUCCAGAACGCAACGGGAGGGGGAGAACUUACACUGGUUUUGGGGACCGUCGCUAGUUUGUGACUGUAGGCUGUCACGGAGGCAAGCCAAGAGCAUUUGCAAACAAUGAAGUUCUGCAGAUUAAGACGGGAAAAAAAUAUAAGCCAUCGUGAAAUUUCAUACCUUGGUAUAGCAAGAUGAAGAUUUCAUAUUUCUUGAGUACUAGAGUCGUGUUUAAUGUUUCAUGUUGAUGUUGCUUAAUGCUUACUCUUGCCUUAGUUACUUACUAGAGAUUUAUCACACAGCUUCAGAAUAAAAGCAACCAAAAAC
Lepidothrix coronata (blue-crowned manakin) is the source of this 655-nucleotide long non-coding RNA. RefSeq lists it as uncharacterized. The record is from RefSeq and is a predicted model, not a curated record. Lineage: Eukaryota; Metazoa; Chordata; Aves; Passeriformes; Pipridae. The transcript has 3 exons.